AAAAUACCUGAACAGGACUCUUCUGGAAUUGGCAAGGGUAUCCACAGAUGGUCUUGUUAUCUUUUCUGGUUAUCCUGGUCAGCAGAAAGCUAAAGUCUCUGAGCUAUCAAAAUUUGGAAGGCCGGCCAAACUACGGAGUUCCUCCUGGUGGAUAAGGUACUUUGUUCAGACUCGCUUAGAAGAGAAUGAAGCUGCGGCAAAGAAGUUUGAGCAGGCCGCCAAGAAGAGGUCGUACAAGCCAAACUGUCAAGUUUUUCACCUCACUUCAGACCAUUGAUCUCGUACAAGCCUAAGUGCCACAGCUUGUUUGGUCAAUAUUUCCACAGCUUGUUUGAUCAACAUUUCCAAUUCCUGUUCUGA
Molecule: unclassified non-coding RNA, 360 nt
Filed under: Hevea brasiliensis (rubber tree)
Lineage: Eukaryota; Viridiplantae; Streptophyta; Magnoliopsida; Malpighiales; Euphorbiaceae
Source: RNAcentral